GGGGGCGUAGCUCAGUUGGGAGAGCAUCGGCUUUGCAAGCCGAGGGUCGUCGGUUCAAGUCCGUCCGCCUCCA
Molecule: transfer RNA, 73 nt
Filed under: Planctomycetaceae bacterium
Lineage: Bacteria; Pseudomonadati; Planctomycetota; Planctomycetia; Planctomycetales; Planctomycetaceae
Also listed under: 1 other name
Description: tRNA-Ala
Rfam family: tRNA
About the family: Transfer RNA (tRNA) molecules are approximately 80 nucleotides in length. Their secondary structure includes four short double-helical elements and three loops (D, anti-codon, and T loops). Further hydrogen bonds mediate the characteristic L-shaped molecular structure. tRNAs have two regions of fundamental functional importance: the anti-codon, which is responsible for specific mRNA codon recognition, and the 3' end, to which the tRNAs corresponding amino acid is attached (by aminoacyl-tRNA synthetases). tRNAs cope with the degeneracy of the genetic code in two manners: having more than one tRNA (with a specific anti-codon) for a particular amino acid; and 'wobble' base-pairing, i.e. permitting non-standard base-pairing at the 3rd anti-codon position.
Source: RNAcentral